GCAGGAUGAGUUCUGCUUAAGGACAUUUUGUGUCCUUUCAGGUCGUGCUGGGCUGUGGGCCAAUGGGAACACGCCCACCCACUAUAAAAGCUGAGAGGGGUCCCUGUACUCUUUCUCUCUUUAUCUUCUGCUGAGGCUGAAGACACGCCCCUUCCGGCUGCUCGCCCUGCUGCUCUCACCGGCGUUCAAAACAUUCGGCGCGUUACUCUGCUUGGUGUUGUGUAGCCACAUUUGGGUUGCUAAAGGAAGCCAUAGCGGCUGGACCGGCUUCUGACGUGCUCUCCUUGUCCUGUGUGUGUGUGUGUGUGUGUGCGCGUCACGCUGCUGUAACAGAGGUAGGUUCAGUUUCUUUUGUGUUGAGCAGAACUAAUUGUCCUGUUUGUAACACCGCCCUUCUGUUUUCCCAUGCUGUUUAGUGGCAGCACCAAGGACCCGCUGCUGCUUUGCUUGACUGCUGCUUUGCUCGCUGCUUUGUGUACUGCAUGUGUACCGCUGUGCUUCGCUUCGCCCGGCCGUGUAUCUGUGGCCUGCUAUACGGCUAACCGGGGCUAGCUGCUGUUAUCUCUCUGCCUCACUCGCUUGGCCUACCUCUAUCCGGUGUCAGCCGGGUUUGGACCAAGCAAGUUAUGAACUGGGUUAUUUUUAACUGUGUUUAGCUCUGUGAUUUUAAUUGUUGCCUUGUCUGUUUUUUUUAUCUGCGCCCACAGUGGGGGACACAGUGUUAUUCGUUGGACAUUAGUUGGGUUUUGUUGUUUUUCUGUUUUGCCUUAUGCCCCUUAUUGGUUUAAUGUCCAGCUAGUAUUGAUUUGUUUUUUUCUGUUCUUAUUCUGAGCCUUAUUUGUUUUUUUGGAUAUUUGUUUUCUAGGUUAAAAUAUUCAUUCUGAUUUGGUUAUUAGUUUAGUUUUUUUUUGUUUCUGUGUUCUCCACUGAUUCCCUUCUAUGUUCCAGAGGCUGUGUACCUGUGGUCGGGACGUGGUGUCGUCGGUGGUAGUCCCCCUCCCCGUGUGAUGUGUGAACCCUGGUUUUUUGGUUUAGUUUUGCACGUGUGUGUGAUUUAUUUAUUUUUUUUCUUUAUUCACUUGGUGACCUCUCCCUGGGCCCUGUUCCUCCCCUCCGUCGACACACCGCCACAUGGUAAGCAGACCUCUGACCCUUUGCACCCCUUUUAUCCUUAUUUUAUCAUGUGUUAAUUGAUUUUAAUUAGUGGUGUAAAUAAAAUUGGAUUAUUGUACGGGAACAACACGUCUCUCGUUUCAUGAUAUAUGGACCUGUGUGCCUCAACGUGCUUUUAAGAGGCAAAGACUUUCCUUGGGGGCUCUCUCUCCCCAAGGUGGCGUUGUCAAGCUCCACUUAGAAGUUAGCCCUCCUAGCUGCUACUGCGCUCGCCACAGUACCAACGUAUAAUAAUAUACAUAGACACUGUCUUGUUAAAACCAGAUAAAUUAAAGCUGUUAAAUACUUUUAUUCAGCGUCUGAUUACAUGUUAAUGCUCCACAUGACAUGAAUAUUAUUAUUAAUAUUAAUAAUUAUAGACUUUCUGAUCAGGAUCAGUUCAUGUGCAGCUAAAAACCUGAUCACUGAUCAAUAUAUCUGCCUUCUUCUGCUUUAAUUAACCUACUGGUGUCAAAAAAAUGCUGUCUUUUAUUAUUAUUACUGGGAAUGUGUGUAUUUAUUAUGAAGCAUUUGAAGCAGAUGUUCUGCUGGGUCCAUCAGAACCAUCAGAACAUCCAGAAAUCACUGAGGCAUCCAGUAGUUGAAUUCUUGUUGAUACCACUGCAUUCCUGCCGAUUGUGUCCCAGUAUAAAGAUCUCCAUGAAGCUGCUGGAACCUUCUGCAUUAAAACCAGCCUGUUGGCCUUUCAGUUCAGACAUUGGAGGCUGAAGACAGAUUCUGAUUUAUGACAGUUUGUUGUUUGGUUCUUCUGUCUGACAUGAUCAUGAAUAAAAGAAAAUCCUGCGUCUUCAGCAGCUCAGUAAAACACGUUAACACAAAGGUCAACCUGAUCAUCAGGAUCUAUCAGCUGCAACAUGAGGUCUGAAGGUCAGUGCACAACAUGUUGGACAGGUCCUAGUUCUGGUUCCAGCAAGAAUAAAUCAAAAACACAGCAUGAAAUAAAACAGUAGAUAAAAGAAAUCACUCAGUUCAGAAUCAACUUUACUGGCCCAGUUUUUACACAUAAAUGAGAAAUGUAACUCUGAGUCUCAGCCCUGUGUGCAGUAAUCAGGGAAAUAAACUAAGAACUAAAAGUAAAGUAGAGUAGUAAAGAAAUAAACUGGAACAAUAAAAAUAACAGCAACAUAAACACACAUAAACAGCAGCAUUUAUAGCAUCUGUGUAAAGUGGGUUACUGAGGGAGGAGUGGUACAUUGAAAGUAGUUUUAGUAGUACUGGUAAUAAUAUGAAUAGUACUGGUAGUAGUAUUAGUUGUAGUGAAAGUUAAUAAGUAUUAUACGUGAGGAGAAGAUGAGGACAUCAGUGAGGCUGUAUAAAUGUAAAAGUUAAACUCCUGACAAGGAAUCAGAGUUCUAAUAGAAGAGUAUGUUCACUGAGAGGCAGAUGGAGUCUAGAGGUUCUGGUUCUGAUGCUGCACAGCCUCCUGGAGGGAAACAGUCUGUUAGUAUAGUUAUGGAAAUAAAUCAGAGAACAUGUACAUUACUGCACACAGAGUACAUGUACAUUACUGCACACAUACAGACUACAUGUACAUUACUGCACACAGAGUACAUGUACAUUACUGCACACAGAGUACAUGUACAUUACUGCACACAUACAGACUACAUGUACAUUACUGCACACAGAGUACAUGUACAUUACUGCACACAGAGUACAUGUACAUUACUGCACACAUACAGAGUACAUGUACAUUACUACACACAUACAGACUACAUGUACAUUACUGCACACAGAGUACAUGUACAUUACUGCACACACACAGAGUACAUGUACAUUACUGCACACACACACAGAGUACAUGUACAUUACUGCACACACACAGAGUACAUGUACAUUACUACACACACACACAGAGUACAUGUACAUUACUGCACACAUACAGAGUACAUGUAUUCCAAUGUACAAAGAGGACAUGCACGUCAGUAUAUCCAGAGUACAUGUGUAAUUUAUGUGUAAUUUUAAUUCCAUUUUAACAGUUUGUGUGUAUAUUUAUACUAGAGCAUAACAGUGCAGCACUUUGAACUCUUAUCUGUGCAUGUAACGGUACUACUACGCGCGUGUGAUGGUACCGUAGGUGUUUGCGCGCUUUGUUUUUGCCGUCACGUUGGGCCCACCGCACCCGAACCGCCGAACCGGCUGUGUCAAACUUCGCCAUUGCUGAAGAAAAAAAUACCAACAUACUUCACAUUCAUAUAUGUCACCAUCAGGGAUUAUUGGGAUUAUGUUAUGUGUUGCUCCUGCAAUUUUUUGGUCAGUGUCCACUUUUCUUCUCUUUGUAGUCAUAAAUUAGUGGUUGCUUUGUUUCUCUGUGGUUAUUUUGUGAUUCUUAUUUUUGUGUUUUUGAAUUAAUGUUGUGUCUCUGUGUGGUUGUUUUGCGUGUCAGUGAUUCAUUCUUUCUCUUCCCAGUCAUCACACAGCUGUAGGGUUUCUCUCUCAUGUGGGUCUGUUUAUUGAGCAUUGUGGUACAACACUAAAUUUGUUGUUUUUGUACACUGUUUACACUUACGAGGUUUCUCCCUACUGUGAAUUCUGUACUGUCUGUACUCUCGUUCUUUUGUGUGGAUGAUUCUAUACCUCUUCAAAGCACUCAGCAAAGUAACACUCUUCCCACACUUCUUAUAAGUGUACAGUUUCAGUCUGGGAUGGUAUUUUCUUGCACUCUGUGACCUGUUGUUGUUAUUGAUAAUGAUAAUAAUUUUGGACAUGCCACUUUUUGUUUAAAUGUAAAUAAAAUAAAAGCUGAGAAAUAUUUUUUUCCACAAUGAUAGCUCUAGUAUAUUGUCUAAUUAUCUUUUGGGAGACAACUGUGUCAUUUCCAAUUUAAAAAAAAGCCUUUCUUGUUGAAUAAAAAUAACUUUAAGUCAAAAAUUUGCUAAGGGUAUGAAUAAUUUCAGGCUUGACUGUAUAUCAUUAUUUCUACAUAAAACUGUCUACCUGUCUGUUUAAACUGCUCAGACAAUCUUUCGCUCCAAUAAACUGUAAAAAUAUGACUGUACUAAAAAAUACAAAUAAAAAUAUGAUCAUAAACUCA
Acanthochromis polyacanthus (spiny chromis) is the source of this 4204-nucleotide long non-coding RNA. RefSeq lists it as uncharacterized. The transcript is spliced from 2 exons. Lineage: Eukaryota; Metazoa; Chordata; Actinopteri; Pomacentridae. The record is from RefSeq and is a predicted model, not a curated record.